This 465-nucleotide ribosomal RNA is filed under the name uncultured bacterium. RNAcentral describes it as "partial 16S ribosomal RNA". It matches the Rfam family "Bacterial small subunit ribosomal RNA", at positions 29 to 507 of the family's 1533-position model. The record is from RNAcentral.
AUGCACGCUGGCGGCGUGCUUAACACAUGCCAGUCGAACGGAAAGGCUCCUGCCUGCAGGGGUACUCGAGUGGCGAACGGGUGAGUAACACGUGGGUGAUCUGCCCUGUACUUCGGGAUAAGCUUGGGAAACUGGGUCUAAUACCGGAUAUGACAAUCUCUUGGAUGGGGUUGUGGAAAGCUUUUGCGGUAUGGGAUGAGCUCGCGGCCUAUCAGCUUGUUGGUGGGGUAAUGGCCUACCAAGGCGUCGACGGGUAGCCGGCCUGAGAGGGUGUACGGCCACAUUGGGACUGAGAUACGGCCCAGACUCCUACGGGAGGCAGCAGUGGGGAAUAUUGCACAAUGGGCGCAAGCCUGAUGCAGCGACGCCGCGUGGGGGAUGACGGCCUUCGGGUUGUAAACUCCUUUCGCAACCGACGAAGCUUUUGUGACGGUAGGUGGAGAAGAAGCACCGGCUAACUACGUG